This 2031-nucleotide long non-coding RNA is filed under the name Pan troglodytes (chimpanzee). RNAcentral's name for it is "long non-coding RNA NONPTRT015338". The record is from RNAcentral. Lineage: Eukaryota; Metazoa; Chordata; Mammalia; Primates; Hominidae.
UGCGGCCUGUGGCUGCAGAGGGACGCAAGAACAUAAACUGAAAUCCCACAUCCCCGUGAAGGAACUUGGAGUUGGUGUCUGGGGAGAAAUCGAGGUUCUGGGGCACGGGUUUGACAUUAGGAUUACUGGGCAGCCCUGAUUAAUUGGAGUUCUUCUGCAGGACCUACACUGCCUGGCUUUGCCCUUCGGAACCAUAGACAUAUAUCGACUCUUGAAUAUUCAGCUAUUUGAACGUAGAUGUUAUCCUAGUACCACCCCAGUUAUUCUCUUGGCUAAAUAUAACAAGUACCUUCAAUAAUUACUAAGGAGACAUUACAGACACGCUGAAAUUGUCAAUGGCUUGAAAACCUGGGGUCCAGAAAUUAACACAGUGGGUGUAAGGAAGGCAAAAUAAUGACACCUUGAGUCGCUGAGGGCUAGGUGAUGAUAUCUAUAAUAAAACCAAUAAGGUGUCUUGUUGUUCGAAUGAAAGAGUGAGUCCAAGUCAUGGGCUCAGGUGGUCCUUUAUAGACUUUCCAGAAAAGGUCCAGGGGCCAGGUGACACAGACAGAACAAAGUAAAAUGAAGCUUAUUAGGGCGCAGGCUUAAGGCUCAGUCAUCAGUGGUGAUAUUUGUUAGUUAUCUUGCCUUGGGCUAGUUUUUCCCUUUGAGUCUCAGUUUAGUCACUUAUAAAUAGGAGAUGCUAAUACCUAACUCACAGUUCUGUUUUGAGGAUAAGAUGCAAAGCGCAGCAAAUAGGAGCCACUCUUUCAGAGAUGACAGACCACCUGGUUUCAAGGAGCAGCAGACGGCGUGAAUGAAUGAAGUUGGCCAGCUAAAUACAGAGUAGUGGAUACUAUGCUUAACUGAGACAUGCUUAGACUGCAAGAGCUUGCAAAUUUAUCAAAACAAAACAAAAUAUUGUGUUGGUUCAAUAUAACCUCACUUCAGAGAUACCUGAUACACAGCCCUUAGGCUUAGGACCACUACUACUGGUUGGUGUCUUUCAUAAGCCUAGAAAUAGUUAAGUAUCUUUAAAUAAAAGAAAUCCCCUCCACUCAUGGGACUGGGCACAUGCUCACAGUUCCACCUGUGCAGGCAAGAGGCAGCUUCCUGCAGAGAAAAUCUUUCAACUUCUCUGACAAAUGAAUGCUCAGGGCUCUCCACUCAGCAUAGCCUAUGGUUUGUCAGACUAUCCCAAUCUUAUUACUAUUGGAUUACUACUGGGGGUUACCUAGAUGACAGACAGCCCCUUCGUUGUAUUUCUAUAUGCAAAAUAAAUAAAUUCCAAGUCAGCAGUGUUAAUAUUAUGACUACAAGACUGCCCUGCAAACAUCUCCUAUAUAUGUAAAGACAAUGAACACAUCAUGAAGAUUCUGCUUUGUUUAUACCAUAAUUCAAACUUCCAGAGAACUCUCUUGAAUGAAAGUAGAGGACUAAAUGGUAAAGAACUGAAAUGCAGACAGGAAAUGGGACUUGCCUGACAUGGAGCAGAUGAGCAACUGUUAAAUGAAAUUCGUCCUCGAAAGGAAGAAGGUUUCAUAAGCAAUUAUUGGAUUUUAGACUUACGAUCUCAUUUCAUCUAGGACCUCAUUACAAACAAGGGGAAAAGAAAACAGAACUUCAAAAGUUCUGUGUGUUGACUGGAAUCACCUGGGAAGUUUUAGUCCUGUGAUGCCACCUGGAACCACAGUAAGCAUCUGGGAGCAUCUGGAGGCUCUAUUUGGCUGAAUAUCCCACAUGGUUCACUCACAGGGCUGUCUGUUGAUGCUGGAUGAAGGCUGGCGGCUCUCGGUAGGGCUUGUGUCCACAACACCUACACAUGCUCUCACAGCUUGAUGGCAGGGUAUCCAGAGGGCAGAAGCAAAGGCUGCCAGUCAGUCUUCUAAACGGCUAAGCCUAGAACUGGCACAGUGCCACUUUUGCUGCAAUCUAUUGCUUAAGCAGCCACAGGGCCAGAUUAGAUUCUAGCUAAGGGAAAAUAAAUAUCAAUUCCCAAAAAGGAGAGUUACAAGAAAUUGUGGCCAUCUGCUAUGGACUUAAUUGUGUCCU